CAGAAUAUAGUUUAAUUAAAAUUUCAGCUUUGGGGGUUGAAGAUAAGAGUUUAAUCCUCUUUUUUCUGA
RNAcentral lists this transfer RNA (69 nucleotides) under Symphurus orientalis (pygmy tongue-sole). Its description in RNAcentral is "tRNA-Pro". It matches the Rfam family "tRNA". Rfam says of the family: Transfer RNA (tRNA) molecules are approximately 80 nucleotides in length. The record is from RNAcentral. Lineage: Eukaryota; Metazoa; Chordata; Actinopteri; Pleuronectiformes; Cynoglossidae.